GGCUUAACACAUGCAAGUCGAGGGGCAGCAUGGUCUUAGCUUGCUAAGGCCGAUGGCGACCGGCGCACGGGUGAGUAACACGUAUCCAACCUGCCGUCUACUCUUGGACAGCCUUCUGAAAGGAAGAUUAAUACAAGAUGGCAUCAUGAGUCCGCAUGUUCACAUGAUUAAAGGUAUUCCGGUAGACGAUGGGGAUGCGUUCCAUUAGAUAGUAGGCGGGGUAACGGCCCACCUAGUCUUCGAUGGAUAGGGGUUCUGAGAGGAAGGUCCCCCACAUUGGAACUGAGACACGGUCCAAACUCCUACGGGAGGCAGCAGUGAGGAAUAUUGGUCAAUGGGCGAGAGCCUGAACCAGCCAAGUAGCGUGAAGGAUGACUGCCCUAUGGGUUGUAAACUUCUUUUAUAAAGGAAUAAAGUCGGGUAUGCAUACCCGUUUGCAUGUACUUUAUGAAUAAGGAUCGGCUAACUCCGUGCCAGCAGCCGCGGUAAUACGGAGGAUCCGAGCGUUAUCCGGAUUUAUUGGGUUUAAAGGGAGCGUAGAUGGAUGUUUAAGUCAGUUGUGAAAGUUUGCGGCUCAACCGUAAAAUUGCAGUUGAUACUGGAUAUCUUGAGUGCAGUUGAGGCAGGCGGAAUUCGUGGUGUAGCGGUGAAAUGCUUAGAUAUCACGAAGAACUCCGAUUGCGAAGGCAGCCUGCUAAGCUGCAACUGACAUUGAGGCUCGAAAGUGUGGGUAUCAAACAGGAUUAGAUACCCUGGUAGUCCACACGGUAAACGAUGAAUACUCGCUGUUUGCGAUAUACAGCAAGCGGCCAAGCGAAAGCGUUAAGUAUUCCACCUGGGGAGUACGCCGGCAACGGUGAAACUCAAAGGAAUUGACGGGGGCCCGCACAAGCGGAGGAACAUGUGGUUUAAUUCGAUGAUACGCGAGGAACCUUACCCGGGCUUAAAUUGCAGAUGAAUUACGGUGAAAGCCGUAAGCCGCAAGGCAUCUGUGAAGGUGCUGCAUGGUUGUCGUCAGCUCGUGCCGUGAGGUGUCGGCUUAAGUGCCAUAACGAGCGCAACCCUUGUUGUCAGUUACUAACAGGUUCCGCUGAGGACUCUGACAAGACUGCCAUCGUAAGAUGUGAGGAAGGUGGGGAUGACGUCAAAUCAGCACGGCCCUUACGUCCGGGGCUACACACGUGUUACAAUGGGGGGUACAGAGGGCCGCUACCACGCGAGUGGAUGCCAAUCCCAAAAACCUCUCUCAGUUCGGACUGGAGUCUGCAACCCGACUCCACGAAGCUGGAUUCGCUAGUAAUCGCGCAUCAGCCACGGCGCGGUGAAUACGUUCCCGGGCCUUGUACACACCGCCCGUCAAGCCAUGGGAGCCGGGGGUACCUGAAGUGCGUAACAACGAGGAGCGCCCUAGGGUAAAACUGGUGACUGGGGCUAA
This 1435-nucleotide ribosomal RNA is filed under the name uncultured organism. Its description in RNAcentral is "SSU rRNA". It matches the Rfam family "Bacterial small subunit ribosomal RNA". The record is from RNAcentral.